This is a non-coding RNA of Pelobates cultripes (western spadefoot toad), 235 nucleotides long. The record is from the annotation of a GenBank genome assembly. NCBI's taxonomy places the organism in Eukaryota, Metazoa, Chordata, Amphibia, Anura, Pelobatidae.
GACACACAGCUCACACACACAAUGACACACAGCCCGCACACACACUCACAGAGCCUGCUCACAUACUGGCACACAGCUUGCUCACACAGCCUACACACUGCCCGAACACACACUGAAACACAGCUUGCUCACAUACUGACAUACAGCUUGCUCACACACAGACUGUUAAUUCACUAACACACAGCGGGCUCACACACUGACACACUGUCUGAACACACACUAAACAGACAGCCUG